CUUGGCUCUAUCAGUUAUGCCUCUAUUCUGUAUGUUUAACCUCGCCCUCGUAGGGGCAUAAAACAGCAUUUAAACAGGAUCAAGCUUUCCAUUUUAAAACUCCAUACACUCCCUUAAUUUCAUCUCCUCCUCCACCUACUGCCCCAUGUCUCUCCCUCUUCCUGGCUAAACGUCUCAAAAAAGUGGAUACACUUUCUGUCAACUCCUAAACACUCCUCACGCUCAUUUGGCCUCUGCUCCUCCCUUCCUCCUCCCACUUCAUUGGAACUACUUCUGCCAAAGAGGAUCCCUGAGUCAGCCUGACUGGUAACCCCAAUGGACUCUACUCAAUAUGCAACAUCCUUCACUUCUUAGCAGAGUUUGAAACAGCCUGACUCUCCUCUUCUGGCAACAUUCUUUUCCUUGGUUUGGGGACGCUGUACUGUUCUGGUUUUGCCCCUCCCUCCGAGCAUUCCUUGUGUUUGUCCUGGCCCAUUUUCUCCUCUCAUUCUACAUCCUCUCCCCGGGGAUUUUAGCUUCUCUCACGGCUCAGGUUACCAUCUCCAUAGUGAUGACUAUCAAAUUCUGUACCUCAUUUCCAGAGGCUCCUGACAGACUUGCUUGGUCAAUAUACUACUGGACAUAUUCAUGAGACUGUCUCACACAGGCAUCUCGAACCCAGUGUGUCCCACAAUUCUCUUCCUAUCCAUGCCUGUUCCUCUUCCACUGCCUCAUAUGUCGGUGACUGUCCACCUUCUCUCUCUCUCCCCCUCUCCGUUUGGCUCAUAGGAAAAGUGUCACCAAGGGCUGUAAGUGCAGAUUUCUAAUUAUCCCCUAAAUUUGAACAUUUUUCCUCUCGAAAGUGUAUGGCCAUUACCCUAUUACAGAUCAACAUCUUCAAUCACUGGAAUGAUGGCAAUAAUCUAAUUGGGUUCAUUUUAUCCUCUAUCUAACAAUGACAACUCAUUGCCUACACAGCAGGUAGAAGGAGUUUGUUUUCAGAAUUGCCCUCUGACCUAUUUAAGACGCUCAGAUAUUCCCUGAGGCUCCUUGGCCUGGCCACAAAGGCCCUACACAUUCUGGCUGCUUCCUCCUUUCCAGCAUCCUCUCUCACGUCUCCUCUCCUCAGUUCCACCCUCAGGAGGCACCAGAAUUCCUCACUUCUUUGACUACAAGGCACCGUCUUACUCCCAAGACCAGUGAAUCCGAAGGUGGACCACCAGCUGAGGGACUAGAUUCCAGACUGAAUAGAACAACUUUCCCUGUCUCUCCACAUAAAGUGUGUUUGUUUUUCCUCUUACAGGUUUCCUUAAUGACAACAAAAAAGGGAGUAAUCCUACCCACUGUAAGAGUCAUGACUCUUGAUUGCAGCUGACAGAAACUCAUGACAGCCUGCUUUAGAUGAAGGGGGAGAGAAGGACUGGAAGAAUCUUGGAGUUGGGAAUGUCACACGUAAUUGAAGGAAGAACAAGAAAACUAUAAUUCUUCCCCUGGAGGCUGGAGUUUCCAGGAUGUCAAAAUUACCUCUGCUUGGGUGAGCUAUUUCAAGCAGCUGGGAUACCUGUGUC
RNAcentral lists this long non-coding RNA (1547 nucleotides) under Homo sapiens (human). Its description in RNAcentral is "HSALNT0317513". The record is from RNAcentral. Lineage: Eukaryota; Metazoa; Chordata; Mammalia; Primates; Hominidae.